GUGGGGAAUCUUGCGCAAUGGGCGAAAGCCUGACGCAGCAACGCCGCGUGAGGGAAGAAGGCCUUCGGGUUGUAAACCUCUUUCAGUAGGGACGAAGCUUCCGGGGUUAAUAGCCUACGGGGUGACGGUACCUACAGAAGAAGCCCCGGCUAACUACGUGCCAGCAGCCGCGGUAAUACGUAGGGGGCAAGCGUUGUCCGGAAUCAUUGGGCGUAAAGCGCGUGUAGGCGGCUUGGUAAGUCUGGCGUGAAAUCUUGGGGCUCAACCCCAAGCCUGCGCUGGAUACUGCCUCGCUCGAGUCCGGGAGAGGAAAGCGGAAUUCCCAGUGUAGCGGUGAAAUGCGCAGAUAUUGGGAAGAACACCGAUGGCGAAGGCAGCUUUCUGGAACGGUACUGACGCUGAGACGCGAAAGCGUGGGGAGCAAACAGGAUUAGAAACCCGUGUAGUCC
RNAcentral lists this ribosomal RNA (449 nucleotides) under uncultured bacterium. RNAcentral describes it as "bacterial SSU rRNA". It matches the Rfam family "Bacterial small subunit ribosomal RNA", at positions 354 to 796 of the family's 1533-position model. The record is from RNAcentral.